This 464-nucleotide ribosomal RNA is filed under the name Nocardia inohanensis. RNAcentral describes it as "bacterial SSU rRNA". It matches the Rfam family "Bacterial small subunit ribosomal RNA", at positions 28 to 508 of the family's 1533-position model. The record is from RNAcentral. Lineage: Bacteria; Bacillati; Actinomycetota; Actinomycetes; Mycobacteriales; Nocardiaceae.
GACGAACGCUAGCGGCGUGCUUAACACAUGCAAGUCGAGCGGUAAGGCCCUUCGGGGUACACGAGCGGCGAACGGGUGAGUAACACGUGGGUAAUCUGCCCUGCACUCUGGGAUAAGCCUUGGAAACUAGGUCUAAUACCGGAUAUUAGCAGCCUGUGCAUGGUCCGCUGUUGGAAAGCUUUACUGGUGCAAGAUGAGCCCGCGGCCUAUCAGCUUGUUGGUGGGGUAAUGGCCUACCAAGGCGACGACGGGUAGCCGACCUGAGAGGGUGACCGGCCACACUGGGACUGAGACACGGCCCAGACUCCUACGGGAGGCAGCAGUGGGGAAUAUUGCACAAUGGGCGAAAGCCUGAUGCAGCGACGCCGCGUGAGGGAUGACGGCCUUCGGGUUGUAAACCUCUUUUAGCAGGGACGAAGCGCAAGUGACGGUACCUGUAGAAGAAGCACCGGCUAACUACGUGC